AUACGGAGGGUGCGAGCGUUAAUCGGAAUUACUGGGCGUAAAGCGCGCGUAGGCGGCCUGAUCAGUCGGAUGUGAAAGCCCUGGGCUCAACCUGGGAAUUGCAUUCGAAACUGUCAGGCUAGAGUAUGGGAGAGGGAAGUGGAAUUUCCGGUGUAGCGGUGAAAUGCGUAGAUAUCAGAAGGAACACCAGUGGCGAAGGCGACUUCCUGGCCCAAUACUGACGCUCAGGUGCGAAAGCGUGGGUAGCGAACAGGAUUAGAAACCCGGGUAGUCC
This 274-nucleotide ribosomal RNA is filed under the name uncultured bacterium. RNAcentral's name for it is "partial 16S ribosomal RNA". It matches the Rfam family "Bacterial small subunit ribosomal RNA", at positions 523 to 796 of the family's 1533-position model. The record is from RNAcentral.